Molecule: small nuclear RNA, 107 nt
Organism: Myodes glareolus (Bank vole)
Lineage: Eukaryota; Metazoa; Chordata; Mammalia; Rodentia; Cricetidae
Source: RefSeq, a predicted model, not a curated record
GUGCUUGCUUCAGCAGCACAUACACUAAAACUGGACCAAUAUAGAGAAGAUUAGCAUGGCCUCUGCGCAAGCAUGACAUGCGAAUUUGUGAAACAUUCCAUAUUUUU